This is a long non-coding RNA of Tyto alba (common barn owl), 2318 nucleotides long. RefSeq lists it as uncharacterized. The record is from RefSeq and is a predicted model, not a curated record. Lineage: Eukaryota; Metazoa; Chordata; Aves; Strigiformes; Tytonidae. The transcript is spliced from 2 exons.
UUUCAAGCACUGGAACAGGCUGCCCAGGGAAGGGGUUGAGUCACCAUCCCUGGAGGGAUUUAAAAGAUGUGUAGACAUGGCGUUUAGCAAUAUGAUUUAGUGGUGGCAGUGUUAGGUUUAUGGUUGGACUCAGUGAUCUUGAGGGUCUUUGCCAACUUCGAUGAUUCUGUGAUUCUAAAAGAAGGUGGGCAAUCGGUGAGGGACAGCAAAUUCUGCAGGCAGAGCCCGUUGCUGGAGGAGCUGUGCUCUGGCAAAGACAUGGUCUCUGGCAGGGAGCAAGUGGGUUGUGCAGCACAGAGAUAACGCGGGGAAUGGGAGAAGCUGCAGGCUAAAACUGACAGAGCUGCUGUGAUCCUUUGGGGGACACUGAUUCCCCAGAUGCAUUUAAACCUACCUGCAGGCUUCAUGAAGAAGGAAAGUUUGAAAGACAGAUGGAAAAAAUAGUGUGGAGUAGUUUUUGUCUCCAACUUGGUUUUGAUAUUCAAAGAUGUUUUAGAUAUCCUAAAAUCUCUCCUGGCUGAUUACUAUUUGGUAUUAAGCCUUCAUGCUGGAAAAUCAACUUUUCUGUGUUCCUGAAAAGCAUUCAGAUAAUUUUUAAGUGAAAAGGCUGCCCUCCAGAUGAGACGGCGUGGGGGCGACUCGUGGAAAGAAAAACCCUACAACACCCAUAAAGGAACAAAGCUGUCUUGCAGAACUUGAGAGCAGAACUCGUCCUGCGAUCACAGGGAGCUAAGUCUUUAAUGACCUGCAAAUAGCACCGAGAGCUGAAAAGUGGGACUGCCAAAGCCGAAUCUCUACACAGCAGAAUUUAAAAAUAGGCUGCUGCUGGCGUUCUCGCUUACCCGUCGCUCCUGGAAGCCCACGGGGAGAGCGGCUCUCCAGCAGAGGAGAGACGCAGUCCCCUGACGUAACUUGCCUCGGCAUCUACACCGCAGAGCAGGAAGUUGCAGAUUCAGUCAUUUUACACCAGAGCAGCCCUGAUUGUUGUCUGCUUCUUUUCCAGCGCCAGGUCUUUGCCAGGUGCUGACUCCUCUCUCCUCUCCCCGGAGCAAUGAGGCAGUGGGGGCACCAGGCAGACCCCCCCUCGCCCGUGGUGCUGCCAUCCCGGCGGGGCCGAGGAGUCCCUUUAGCUCAGCAUCGUCAGCGCCUCCAGCGAAGCUCAGCACGUGUGGGAGUAGAGACACGGGAGAGAUGAACGCCUCUGCGGACGAAAAUGCUCUUCAGAAGCUCCCACCAACAGCGAGAGGUGUCAGCCCCAGUCAAAGACGGGGAGACGUGUUGUGGGGAAAGCAGUUGGGGCAGAAAAAAUGCUCGAGGGUGGGAGCAUGGGGAGUUGGGGGUGCUGAGCUGCGUCUCUAGGCGAGGAUGAGCUCUGCAUUUACAAAGGGCUGCAGAGAGCCAGGCCGUGAGACACCCCGUCCCCGUCACGAGCGAGGGGUCUGUGACAAGACCCCAAGGAGCCCCCCCUGCACACCGCAGCCCCCCUGGGGACCCGCAGCAGGAGGGUCCCCAGCGCCGCGUGCUGAGGGGCUGGAGGAGAUGGGCAGCCACGGGCCGAGCAGGGGGGUCCCGGCGGCAGAGGUGGGCAGCACCCAUGGGUGCAGAGGCUGCAGGGGAGCAGGUGGUGCUGCUCGACCUGCCUGGGGCACUCGGGCUGACGGGACCCCCUGCCCCGAGGUGCCGCGGGGGUGGCGGGGCACUGCUCUCCCCCCCAGCACUGAGCCACCAGCGUGGUGCGGGGGGCAGAGGCGAGAGGAGCUGCCCCUUCCCUUGGUCACUAAGGCUGAGGCCAAAAAUGCCGGGCAAACCCCCGGUCUGCCCCUGGGGGGUGUCCCAUGGGGAAACAAGGGGUGAGGCUGGGGCCGGGUGGCUGCAGAGGGCUGGCACACGGCGCCUGGAAGAGUCCCGGGGACCUGGAAGGUGGGAAGAAAUCAGUCGAGCUCGAUGCACCCGUCGGGGACUGCAAAAGGGAGGAUUUUAGUAGCGGUGAUUUGGCUGAAGGCAGGAGUAGAGGAUGCAGCUUUGGGGACCUACUGGAGGAAAGGCAGAGCAAGUCGCCAAGACUGGAGAAGAGGCUCCUGCAAAAAUGGAAGAGAAGCUCCCGAGCAUGUAAGAGUGCUGGAUGCAAGGAUGCAAAAGAGGCAGCAGAUUUGAAAAAUACGUAUACUGUGUAGGAAGCAGAAACAGAGAUUUAUAACUUCCAGGAUGUAGAAAAUAAGCCAUGUCUGAACAAAAUCAUUUGAGUGGUUAUGACUGUUCAAAUUUAAUGCAUUUUAUCCAGUGGUUAAUCACCCUCGCUGAUAAAAUUUUGUGUCUAA